Molecule: ribosomal RNA, 115 nt
Filed under: Nannospalax galili (Upper Galilee mountains blind mole rat)
Lineage: Eukaryota; Metazoa; Chordata; Mammalia; Rodentia; Spalacidae
Source: RNAcentral
GUCUACAGCCAUACCACUCACCCCCCAAAGCUCCUGAUCUCGUCUGAUCUUGGAAGCUAAGUGGGAUCAGGCCUAGGUAGUACUUGGAUGAGAGGAUGGCCUUGAACUUCUGAUC